GAAACCGAGUCUUAACCGGGCGUUAAGUUGCAGGGUAUAGACCCGAAACCCGGUGAUCUAGCCAUGGGCAGGUUGAAGGUUGGGUAACACUAACUGGAGGACCGAACCGACUAAUGUUGAAAAAUUAGCGGAUGACCUGUGGCUGGGGGUGAAAGGCCAAUCAAACCGGGAGAUAGCUGGUUCUCCCCGAAAGCUAUUUAGGUAGCGCCUCGUGAAUUCAUCUCCGGGGGUAGAGCACUGUUUCGGCUAGGGGGCCAUCCCGGCUUACCAACCCGAUGCAAACUGCGAAUACCGGAGAAUGUUAUCACGGGAGACACACGGCGGGUGCUAACGUCCGUCGUGAAGAGGGAAACAACCCAGACCGCCAGCUAAGGUCCCAAAGUCAUGGUUAAGUGGGAAACGAUGUGGGAAGGCCCAGACAGCCAGGAUGUUGGCUUAGAAGCAGCCAUCAUUUAAAGAAAGCGUAAUAGCUCACUGGUCGAGUCGGCCUGCGCGGAAGAUGUAACGGGGCUAAACCAUGCACCGAAGCUGCGGCAGCGACACUGUGUGUUGUUGGGUAGGGGAGCGUUCUGUAAGCCUGUGAAGGUGUGUCGUGAGGCAUGCUGGAGGUAUCAGAAGUGCGAAUGCUGACAUAAGUAACGAUAAAGCGGGUGAAAAGCCCGCUCGCCGGAAGACCAAGGGUUCCUGUCCAACGUUAAUCGGGGCAGGGUGAGUCGACCCCUAAGGCGAGGCCGAAAGGCGUAGUCGAUGGGAAACGGGUUAAUAUUCCCGUACUUGGUGUUACUGCGAAGGGGGGACGGAGAAGGCUAUGUUGGCCGGGCGACGGUUGUCCCGGUUUAAGCGUGUAGGUGUGUGUUCCAGGUAAAUCCGGUUCACUUUAACACUGAGGCGUGACGACGAGGCACUACGGUGCUGAAGCAACAAAUGCCCUGCUUCCAGGAAAAGCCUCUAAGCAUCAGGUAACAUCAAAUCGUACCCCAAACCGACACAGGUGGUCAGGUAGAGAAUACCAAGGCGCUUGAGAGAACUCGGGUGAAGGAACUAGGCAAAAUGGUGCCGUAACUUCGGGAGAAGGCACGCUGACACGUAGGUGAAGUGAUUUACUCAUGGAGCUGAAGUCAGUCGAAGAUACCAGCUGGCUGCAACUGUUUAUUAAAAACACAGCACUGUGCAAACACGAAAGUGGACGUAUACGGUGUGACGCCUGCCCGGUGCCGGAAGGUUAAUUGAUGGGGUCAGCGCAAGCGAAGCUCCUGAUCGAAGCCCCGGUAAACGGCGGCCGUAACUAUAACGGUCCUAAGGUAGCGAAAUUCCUUGUCGGGUAAGUUCCGACCUGCACGAAUGGCGUAAUGAUGGCCAGGCUGUCUCCACCCGAGACUCAGUGAAAUUGAACUCGCUGUGAAGAUGCAGUGUACCCGCGGCAAGACGGAAAGACCCCGUGAACCUUUACUAUAGCUUGACACUGAACAUUGAGCCUUGAUGUGUAGGAUAGGUGGGAGGCUUUGAAGUGUGGACGCCAGUCUGCAUGGAGCCGACCUUGAAAUACCACCCUUUAAUGUUUGAUGUUCUAACGUGGACCCGUUACCCGGGUUGCGGACAGUGUCUGGUGGGUAGUUUGACUGGGGCGGUCUCCUCCUAAAGAGUAACGGAGGAGCACGAAGGUUGGCUAAUCCUGGUCGGACAUCAGGAGGUUAGUGCAAUGGCAUAAGCCAGCUUGACUGCGAGCGUGACGGCGCGAGCAGGUGCGAAAGCAGGUCAUAGUGAUCCGGUGGUUCUGAAUGGAAGGGCCAUCGCUCAACGGAUAAAAGGUACUCCGGGGAUAACAGGCUGAUACCGCCCAAGAGUUCAUAUCGACGGCGGUGUUUGGCACCUCGAUGUCGGCUCAUCACAUCCUGGGGCUGAAGUAGGUCCCAAGGGUAUGGCUGUUCGCCAUUUAAAGUGGUACGCGAGCUGGGUUUAGAACGUCGUGAGACAGUUCGGUCCCUAUCUGCCGUGGGCGCUGGAGAACUGAGGGGGGCUGCUCCUAGUACGAGAGGACCGGAGUGGACGCAUCACUGGUGUUCGGGUUGUCAUGCCAAUGGCACUGCCCGGUAGCUAAAUGCGGAAGAGAUAAGUGCUGAAAGCAUCUAAGCACGAAACUUGCCCCGA
Molecule: ribosomal RNA, 2148 nt
Filed under: Salmonella enterica subsp. enterica serovar Enteritidis
Lineage: Bacteria; Pseudomonadati; Pseudomonadota; Gammaproteobacteria; Enterobacterales; Enterobacteriaceae
Description: partial 23S ribosomal RNA
Rfam family: Bacterial large subunit ribosomal RNA
Source: RNAcentral